CUGCGAAUGGCUCAUUAUAUAAGUUAUCGUUUAUUUGAUAGUACCUUACUACUUGGAUAACCGUGGUAAUUCUAGAGCUAAUACAUGCUAAAAAUCCCGACUUCGGAAGGGAUGUAUUUAUUAAAUUAAAAACCAAUGCCCCUCGGGGCUCUCUGGUGAUUCAUGAUAACUUCUCGAAUCGCACGGCCUUGCGCCGGCGAUGGUUCAUUCAAAUUUCUUCCCUAUCAACUUUCGAUGUUUGGGUAGUGGCCAAACAUGGUUGCAACGGGUAACGGAGGGUUAGGGCUCGACCCCGGAGAAGGAGCCUGAAAAACGGCUACUACAUCCAAGGAAGGCAGCAGGCGCGCAAAUUACCCAAUCCCGAUUCGGGGAGGUAGUGACAAUAAAUACUGAUACAGGGCUCUUUCGGGUCUUGUAAUUGGAAUGAGUACAAUUUAAAUCCCUUAACGAGGAACAAUUGGAGGGCAAGUCUGGUGCCAGCAGCCGCGGUAAUUCCAGCUCCAAUAGCGUAUAUUAAAGUUGUUGUGGUUAAAAAGCUCGUAGUUGAACCUUGGGCCUGGCUGGCCGGUCCGCCUCACCGCGUGUCACUGGUCCGGCCGGGUCUUUCCCUCUGUGGAACCACAUGCCCUUCACUGGGCGUGGCGGGGAAACAGGACUUUUACUUUGAAAAAAUUAGAGUGCUCCAGGCAGGCCUAUGCUCGAAUACAUUAGCAUGGAAUAAUAAAAUAGGACGUGCGGUUCUAUUUUGUUGGUUUCUAGGACCGCCGUAAUGAUUAAUAGGGACAGUCGGGGGCAUCAGUAUUCAAUUGUCAGAGGUGAAAUUCUUGGAUUUAUUGAAGACUAACUACUGCGAAAGCAUUUGCCAAGGAUGUUUUCAUUAAUCAGGAACGAAAGUUAGGGGAUUGAAGACGAUCAGAUACCGUCGUAGUUUUAACCAUAAACUAUGCCGACUAGGGAUCGGACGAUGUUAUUUAGUUGACUCGUUUGGCACCUUACGAGAAAUCAAAGUGC
Molecule: ribosomal RNA, 1011 nt
Filed under: Metarhizium sp. NHJ11618
Lineage: Eukaryota; Fungi; Ascomycota; Sordariomycetes; Hypocreales; Clavicipitaceae
Description: SSU rRNA
Rfam family: Eukaryotic small subunit ribosomal RNA
Source: RNAcentral